Molecule: microRNA precursor, 80 nt
Organism: Medicago truncatula (barrel medic)
Lineage: Eukaryota; Viridiplantae; Streptophyta; Magnoliopsida; Fabales; Fabaceae
Rfam family: MIR5269 microRNA precursor family
Source: Rfam
UUGGGUGAAAUCAAUGUAGGACCUGCACUUUGGAAAUGGAAUCCACAUAAAAUGGUGGGACAUACAUUAAUUUCACCCAA